UACAGAGGGCGCGAGCGUUGUCCGGAAUCACUGGGCGUAAAGGGCGCGUAGGUGGCGGCAUAAGGCUGUGGUGAAAGUCCGGGGCUCAACUCCGGAUCGGCCGUGGCAACUGUGUCGCUAGGGCACCGUAGAGGCAGAUGGAAUUCCGGGUGUAGCGGUGGAAUGCGUAGAGAUGUGGAGGAACACCGAUGGCGAAGGCAGCCCCCUGGGCUAACACUGACGCUCAUGCACGAAAGCGUGGGGAGCAAACAGG
RNAcentral lists this ribosomal RNA (253 nucleotides) under uncultured bacterium. RNAcentral's name for it is "partial 16S ribosomal RNA". It matches the Rfam family "Bacterial small subunit ribosomal RNA", at positions 524 to 776 of the family's 1533-position model. The record is from RNAcentral.